CUAAGGAGACUGCCGGUGGACAAACCGGAGGAAGGUGGGGAUGACGUCAAGUCAUCAUGGCCCUUACGGCCUGGGCUACACACGUGCUACAAUGGUCGGUACAAAGGGCUGCCAAGCCGCGAGGUGGAGCUAAUCCCAUAAAACCGAUCGUAGUCCGGAUCGCAGUCUGCAACUCGACUGCGUGAAGUCGGAAUCGCUAGUAAUCGUGAAUCAGAAUGUCACGGUGAAUACGUUCCCGGGCCUU
This 244-nucleotide ribosomal RNA is filed under the name uncultured Pseudomonas sp. Its description in RNAcentral is "partial 16S ribosomal RNA". It matches the Rfam family "Bacterial small subunit ribosomal RNA", at positions 1140 to 1382 of the family's 1533-position model. Lineage: Bacteria; Pseudomonadati; Pseudomonadota; Gammaproteobacteria; Pseudomonadales; Pseudomonadaceae. The record is from RNAcentral.